This 29-nucleotide small RNA is filed under the name Bombyx mori (domestic silkworm). RNAcentral's name for it is "ovarian small RNA-31853". The record is from RNAcentral. Lineage: Eukaryota; Metazoa; Arthropoda; Insecta; Lepidoptera; Bombycidae.
UGACUAAUCCCGGUGGGAACAACCAGUCC